Molecule: long non-coding RNA, 2759 nt
Organism: Lotus japonicus
Lineage: Eukaryota; Viridiplantae; Streptophyta; Magnoliopsida; Fabales; Fabaceae
Exons: 8
Source: RefSeq, a predicted model, not a curated record
GGCAAAUCUCCUAAAAAAAAGGCAUCAGCAACAGCACCCACCUUCAACCUUACAAAAUAAUCCUGACUCACAUAAUAUUUUGCCAUUUAAAACUCACCUAGCCUCACAUCCCACUUCACCAGUUUUUUAGUUUUAAGAGUAACAAUUGCAUAUAUGGUUGACAUCUCUUCGGAUUACAUACACAUCUGUUCCAUAUUUUGCAGAAUACUUAUAAAGAAAAAUUCAAAAACAAGAUGACGAAUGAUUGGACAACAAGAUUAUCAAGGGGCUUUGCCAUUCUUCAGGUCAGUGAAGAAGUGGAGCGUGCUUUGGCAAAAUUAGGGCAUGCUAAAUUGACUGAAAGGUAUUCUUCCAAGCACAUAGCUGUUAUCGGGAUAGUUGUAUUGACUCCCUUGCAGCUGUUCGCAAUGACUUAAAGGAAUGGGAGACAUCUUCUAUCCUUAAUUUCAAAAUCCCGGUUACUGUUCACGGGGCAAUUUUUUUUUUGGGAUAACUAGCUUUACUUUUCCAUCUGUUGGGCUUUCAUCCUUUGAGUUUGUGGCCCAUUUUCACACACAGCAUCAGCAUCAGCAUCACUUGCAGAGCUUGAUGUCAUCUGCAAACAUGCGAUUUCGUCACUCCUCUCGCCGUCGUUAAUAGUUUCUUUCAUCAUCACUGGCACAGGAUGACGUCGUCCCUCUUUGCCUUUGCUGUCGCCGGCGUGCGUUUCAUUUUCCCAUCCUACUCCCAUAGCUUCGGUCAUCAUCAAUUGCAGAGCUUGAUGCCGUCCCCCUUUCCGUCAUCAUGUCGCCGACGAGCUUUUCCUUUCCCCCUCCUACUCCCAUAGCUUCGUUCAGGUUCAAUUGCAGGUCUAAAGGGUGCGUCAAUGGCUCAGUUGUGACGUUUUUUUUGGCAGCUUCUCUAGGAUUAUUGAAGAUAGGGCAUGGUGUAUAUCUACAAUCAGCAAUUGCGUCAUCAUCUUGCCUCAUGCUGCCAGGACCAGCUGUUUAUGUUGCUUUACAGAUGGCUUCCAAUUGUUUUGAAGGCCCCUCUAACCUAAAGCACCAAACAUAAUUCUUCUGUGAUGAUGGUUCAUGAACAACCAGGGUACCGUAUAAGUGUUGAGUGAGAGCCUUAUCUAUCUUUCUAUUUGAAUUCUGGUGAUCAAGGAUGAUUCAGGCGGUGAGUGAUGAAAGCUGCUGAAUUGGGUAAUACAGCUUUUCCUCAGCUUAAUGGUGUUGCCGGGGAAGAUCAGAAUCAGAAUGGAUCAGAUUUAUUCGAAGUUCCUAUCGAGUGAGCCAUUUGGAAUGGGAUAAAGAAGAUGGUGUUUAAUAGUCAGAUUCUAUCAAUUGAUCACUCUCUCUGGCUAUGUCUAUGGUCACAUCGUUAGAAGUGAUUAAUGUGAACAAUCAAAGUGUACCUCUUGUUUAAAAAGCUCCAAGUCCAGGUAUUGCCAAGUUAAACUUUGAUGCUUCUUAUAAAAGAGGUGCUGAUGCACAAUGCAUUUUGUAAUUGGAGACCAUGAGGGGCAAUUAAAUGUAGCAGCUGCAUGUUCUAUUCCUGAACCGGCAAGUGCAUAUAGUUGUAUCAUUAAAUGUAGUAGUUGCAUGUUCUAUUCCUGAACCAGCAAGUGUAAUUAGAACUUUGCAAUUUAGCUUUGAAUAAACUCUUCAUAAGAUGUUUAUUGCUUAUCAAUUCAAUUUCUGCGCUAAGAGUAUCAUCAUCAGCAUAAACAUCAACCAUGCUAAGUAUCCUACUCUAAUUUUUCUUUCUUUGUACUGGGGAUUUUAUUGUGCUUCCACAUGAGAGGUCUAUGUUGUGAAGUUUUGUGGUUUGGAUAGAGUUGUUGAAUACUUGUGUGAUUGGACCUUAUAAUUAUACAAUCCUAUAUAUAUAUAUAUAUGUAUAUAUAUAAUAAUUAAUCUAGAGUUGUAAAGAUAACAAUUAGAAGUAGUAUGAUAUGUGACCAAGUGUGUGGAGCGUAGCAAUAUUGAAAAAAUUUCGCACAAAUUCACAUCACUAUAGUUUUUUAAUUAGCUUGUCUUCCUCAAUCUCUUUAAUUGAUUUACUUUGAGAAGCUACUCACUUUACUUGUCUAUAGCCCUUUAAAUUUCACAAGAAGUUGGAAUAUUCGCUCUCUUCAUUAUACCUAUACUAUCUUUGCUUAUGCAACACUUCAUGCUCUGGUUUUGGAAAGUUUUCUUUCAAUAAAUUCAUAGUUUUUUUUCAUAUGUUUUUCCUAUCAGAACCGCAAGACAUUCCCUAUGUAUAUUGUUUGUUCUUCUUCAUAUUCAACAUUUGGCGGUGAUUGAAGCAUGACAUGUGUUCAAUUGAAGCCAUCACUAAAGGUCCAAGCAUAUGUUAUUUCACCACAAGAGCUAAGGUUUGCGAGGGUAAGUAAAAACAUACUUAGAGGAAUUGGAAGAAAAUUGAGGAAGAAGAAUGAUUUACAAACUAUAUGGAGAAUCAGUUCAUUUCACUGAGCAGCCAAUACAAGUUUCUCAUUAUCAGUUGUACCCUUGUCCAAAAAUUUCCACUCAUUUGUUUGACAUGUAAUUUAUAGAUAUAUCUGGUACUAAUGUGGACAAAUUUUAAUAUGAGGAUUAAGCCUUUAAUCAUUGAUAAAGUGCUACUUCUGUUUACAAUAGAGAAAAUGAGGAGAUGAGAUCAUUUAGGUAGAGAAAGGAUUGGUUGUCAUGCAUGUUUAAUGUUCUCAUCUCAUUGAUACUGUUUUGUUGAAUAUUAGUACUGAUCUCAUAGUGGGAACAUUAUGCUUUUUA